UACGGGGGGGGCAAGCGUUGUUCGGAAUCACUGGGCUUAAAGGGCGCGUAGGCGGGCAUCCAAGUCAGUGGUGAAAUCCUCCGGCCUAACCGGAGAAGAGCUGUUGAUACUGGGUGCCUCGAGUGGUGCAGGGGUCUGCGGAACUUCCGGUGGAGCGGUGAAAUGCGUAGAGAUCGGAAGGAACGCCGGUGGCGAAAGCGGCGGACUGGGCACCUCCUGACGCUGAGGCGCGAAAGCCAGGGGAGCAAACGGG
Molecule: ribosomal RNA, 253 nt
Filed under: uncultured bacterium
Lineage: Bacteria
Description: partial 16S ribosomal RNA
Rfam family: Bacterial small subunit ribosomal RNA
Source: RNAcentral